UACGAAGGGGGCUAGCGUUGCUCGGAAUGACUGGGCGUAAAGGGCGCGUAGGCGGAUGGCACAGUCAGAUGUGAAAUUCCCGGGCUUAACCUGGGGGCUGCAUUUGAUACGUGUGAUCUAGAGUGAGGAAGAGGGUCGUGGAAUUCCCAGUGUAGAGGUGAAAUUCGUAGAUAUUGGGAAGAACACCGGUGGCGAAGGCGGCGCACUGGACCACAACUGACGCUGAGGCGCGAAAGCUAGGGGAGCAAACAGG
RNAcentral lists this ribosomal RNA (253 nucleotides) under uncultured bacterium. Its description in RNAcentral is "partial 16S ribosomal RNA". It matches the Rfam family "Bacterial small subunit ribosomal RNA", at positions 524 to 776 of the family's 1533-position model. The record is from RNAcentral.